This 1318-nucleotide ribosomal RNA is filed under the name uncultured Nanobdellati archaeon. RNAcentral describes it as "bacterial SSU rRNA". It matches the Rfam family "Archaeal small subunit ribosomal RNA". Lineage: Archaea; Nanobdellati. The record is from RNAcentral.
CGUACGGCUCAGUAACACGUAGUCAAUCUACCAUAAAGAGGAGAAUACCCAUGGGAAACUGUGGCUAAUACUCCAUAGGCCAGGGAUUCUGGAAGGAACCCUGACUUAAAGGGGCGCGAAUUGGAGCGUUUCCGCUUUACGAUGAGACUGCGGCGGAUCAGGCAGAUGGCGGGGUAACGGCCCACCAUACCUAUAACCCGUAGGGGAUGUGGGAGCAUAGGCCCCGAGAAGGGCACUGAGACAAGGGCCCUAGCACUACGGUGUGCAGCAGGCGCGCAAACUCCACAAUGCGCGUAAGCGUGAUGGGGGGAAUCUGAGUGGUUCACUUUGUGAACCUUUUGCCAAGUAUAGCAAGCUUGGCGAAUAAGUGCUGGGCAAGACCGGUGGCAGCCGCCACGGUAAUACCGGCAGCACAAGUGGUGUCCACGAUUAUUGGGCUUAAAGCGCUCGUAGCCAGCUGAUGCCGUCUUGCGUGAAAUAUUGGCGCUCAACGUCAAUGCGUGCGCGAGAUACCCAUCGGCUAGGGAGCGGGUGAGGUCAGGAGUACUUAUAGGGGAGGGGUUAAAUCCUGUAAUCCUAUAAGGACUAACGGUGGCGAAGGCGCCUGACUAGAACGCAUCCGACGGUGAGGAGCGAAGGCUAGGAGAACGAAUCGGAUCAGAUACCCUCGCAGCAAUGUUCGACUGCAUUGGGGGCAAGGACCGAAAGGGCCUUUUCCUCAAAGGCACGGACGAGGCUGACGAGAUGGUGCUCGAGAGGCUAAACAUACACACAUUGAGGAAUGGCAGCAAGAUUUAUUUUGCUAACCAGUCCUCGUUCAUUUCGCUUAUAAAAGAUUACAGCCUUAGAAUUGCGAGCAUUAUUCAUUGACCCGGAAACGAGCGAGACCCUCGCUUACAGUUGCUACCGGUUUAGAGAUAAGCCGGGCACUCUGUAAGGACCGCCUCUGUUUAAAGAGGAGGAAGGAGAGGGCGACGAUACGUCAGUAUGCUCUGAAUCUUCUGGGCUACACGCGGCAUACAAAGGUCGGCACAAUGAGAUGCAACACCGAAAGGUGAAGCCAAUCCCCUAAAACCGGCCCAAGUUCGGAUUGAGGGCUGAAACCCGCCCUCAUGAAGCUGGAAUCCCUAGUAAUCGCUUGUCACUAUCGAGCGGUGAAUACGUCCCUGCUCCUUGCACACACCGCCUACCAAGCCACCCAAGUGAGGUCUUAGUGAGGCAGCGCCGAUGGCGUUUUCGAACUAAGGUUUCGCGAGGUGGGCUAAGGUAUAACAAGGUAUCCGUAGGGGAACCUGCGGAUAGAUCACCUCAAAAGGGC